AUUGAACGCUGGCGGCAGGCCUAACACAUGCAAGUCGAGCGGAUGAAGGGAGCUUGCUCCUGGAUUCAGCGGCGGACGGGUGAGUAAUGCCUAGGAAUCUGCCUGGUAGUGGGGGAUAACGUCCGGAAACGGGCGCUAAUACCGCAUACGUCCUGAGGGAGAAAGUGGGGGAUCUUCGGACCUCACGCUAUCAGAUGAGCCUAGGUCGGAUUAGCUAGUUGGUGGGGUAAAGGCCUACCAAGGCGACGAUCCGUAACUGGUCUGAGAGGAUGAUCAGUCACACUGGGACAGAGAGACGGUCGAGACACCUGCGGUACGGAGCAGUGGGGAAUAUUGGAGAAUGGGCGAAAGGUUUAUCCAGCCAUGAGGAGGGAGGUAAGAAGAUCGUGUGAUUCUUAAGUACUUUAACUUUGGAGGAAGGAUAGGAACCUAAUACCUUGGUGUCUUGACGUUACCAAAAGAAUAAGCACCGACUAACUUCAUG
This 484-nucleotide ribosomal RNA is filed under the name uncultured bacterium. RNAcentral describes it as "partial 16S ribosomal RNA". It matches the Rfam family "Bacterial small subunit ribosomal RNA", at positions 30 to 507 of the family's 1533-position model. The record is from RNAcentral.